Molecule: ribosomal RNA, 253 nt
Filed under: uncultured bacterium
Lineage: Bacteria
Description: partial 16S ribosomal RNA
Rfam family: Bacterial small subunit ribosomal RNA
Source: RNAcentral
GACGGAGGAGGCAAGCGUUGUCCGGAAUUAUUGGGCGUAAAGCGCGCGUAGGCGGUUUCGCAAGUCUGGGGUUAAAGCCCAGGGCUUAACUGCGGAGGGGCACUGGAAACUGGCGGACUAGAGUAAGGUAGGGGAUGGGGGAAUUCCACGUGUAGCGGUGAAAUGCGUAGAUAUGUGGAAGAACACCAGUGGCGAAAGCGCGCAUCUGGGCCAUAACUGACGCUGAGGCACGAAAGCUAGGGGAGCGAACAGG